Molecule: long non-coding RNA, 492 nt
Organism: Triticum aestivum (bread wheat)
Lineage: Eukaryota; Viridiplantae; Streptophyta; Magnoliopsida; Poales; Poaceae
Exons: 2
Source: RefSeq, a predicted model, not a curated record
UUCUAGAUAGGAUCACACAAUCAUUUCUUUGACUUUUUUAGGUCUAAUCUUUCCAGUCUAUAAGAUAGGGUGUAGCCUAUUUUCAUGUGCAUCAAUUUCAUGCCCUCUUAGUUGCUUUUGGGAUUGUUCAUUCGUGGAGACAUAUGGGAGAUGUCAAGCUGACAGGCUUGUUAUGCCUGUUCCUGCUCAUGCCAGUUUUAGUUUCUGGUUCGGAAGCAGAGAUGAUAUGCGAGCGCUAUAGUGUGACCUAUUUUACUUUAGUAUGCAAGUAUGAUCUAUGUGUUCAUGCAUGCCGCAAGGAGCACAAGGAGAGCUUUCACAAAGCCUUUUGUUUCGUAUUCCCCAGACUUUGUAUGUGCCGAUGGAAGUGUUGAAUAAGAAACAUGUUCCAAGUAUCAUAGGGUGUGUGAUGUAACAAGCAAUAAUGUUUUGUAGUGCGAUGAAUUGACAAUGAGCAAUGGAAGGAGUUGAGGAUCUACCAAAUAUUCCUUA